AUCGCUCCAUCGCAAACACGACGAACAGUUGCGUAAAAAUGUCCAUGUAGGAAAGCACAUCACACCAACCAGUUCACACUAUUUCGAAUUAGACCUUCGCAGUUUGACUGUCUAAGUUCGAGACACUCUGCAUCUACAGAAGGUAUUACUACUGAAAUAAAUUCGGGAACAGGAUAAGGAUUUUCAAUUCGGUUUAGGUACUUUGGAAAAAAAGCAAGAAUUAUGCAAUGCUGAAGCAAUAACUACCAUUUUAACUGUUUUGCAUUGAACGACGGGGGAUUGCAUCUCCAUCCUCCUCAAUUAACUUAUGAUGUACAGCACUGAGGGCCUACGUUUCAUACAAUAUUCAGACCAUUUUAAUGAAAAAUUUAAAAAUAAAAAUGUUUUUAACAGAA
This is a long non-coding RNA of Ceratina calcarata, 395 nucleotides long. RefSeq lists it as uncharacterized. The transcript has 2 exons. Lineage: Eukaryota; Metazoa; Arthropoda; Insecta; Hymenoptera; Apidae. The record is from RefSeq and is a predicted model, not a curated record.